GCCUGGAUAGCUCAGUCGGUUAGAGCAUGGUGCGGAUAACACCAAGGUUGCAGGUUUAAUCCCUGUAUGACA
Molecule: non-coding RNA, 72 nt
Organism: Podarcis lilfordi (Lilford's wall lizard)
Lineage: Eukaryota; Metazoa; Chordata; Lepidosauria; Squamata; Lacertidae
Source: the annotation of a GenBank genome assembly